RNAcentral lists this ribosomal RNA (384 nucleotides) under uncultured bacterium. RNAcentral's name for it is "bacterial SSU rRNA". It matches the Rfam family "Bacterial small subunit ribosomal RNA", at positions 30 to 416 of the family's 1533-position model. The record is from RNAcentral.
AUUGAACGCUGGCGGCAUGCCUUACACAUGCAAGUCGAACGGCAGCGGACCUUCGGGUGCCGGCGAGUGGCGAACGGGUGAGUAAUAUAUCGGAACGUACCUUUCAGUGGGGGAUAACGUAGCGGAAGUUACGCUAAUACCGCAUAUUCUGUGAGCAGGAAAGCAGGGGAUCGCAAGACCUUGCGCUGAUUGAGCGGCCGAUAUCAGAUUAGCUAGUUGGUGAGGUAAAGGCUCACCAAGGCGACGAUCUGUAGCGGGUCUGAGAGGAUGAUCCGCCACACUGGAACUGAGACACGGUCCAGACUCCUACGGGAGGCAGCAGUGGGGAAUUUUGGACAAUGGGCGCAAGCCUGAUCCAGCCAUGCCGCGUGAGUGAAGAAGGCC